RNAcentral lists this ribosomal RNA (490 nucleotides) under uncultured bacterium. RNAcentral's name for it is "partial 16S ribosomal RNA". It matches the Rfam family "Bacterial small subunit ribosomal RNA", at positions 30 to 507 of the family's 1533-position model. The record is from RNAcentral.
AUUGAACGCUGGCGGCAGGCCUAACACAUGCAAGUCGAACGGUAACAGGAAGAAGCUUGCUUCUUUGCUGACGAGUGGCAGACGGGUGAGUAAUGUCUGGGAAACUGCCUGAUGGAGGGGGAUAACUACUGGAAACGGUAGCUAAUACCGCAUAACGUCGCAAGACCAAAGAGGGGGACCUUCGGGCCUCUUGCCAUCGGAUGUGCCCAGAUGGGAUUAGCUAGUAGGUGGGGUACCGGCUCACCUAGGCGACGAUCCCUAGCUGGUCUGAGAGGAUGACCAGCAACACUGGAACUGAGACACGGUCCAGACUCCUACGGGAGGCAGCAGUGGGGAAUAUUGCACAAUGGGCGCAAGCCUGAUGCAGCCAUGCCGCGUGUAUGAAGAAGGCCUUCGGGUUGUAAAGUACUUUCAGCGGGGAGGAAGGGAGUAAAGUUAAUACCUUUGCUCAUUGACGUUACCCGCAGAAGAAGCACCGGCUAACUCCGUG